RNAcentral lists this small RNA (73 nucleotides) under Escherichia coli 83972. Its description in RNAcentral is "SgrS RNA". It matches the Rfam family "SgrS RNA", at positions 158 to 230 of the family's 232-position model. From Rfam's summary of the family: In sugar transport-related sRNA (SgrS) is induced under conditions of glucose phosphate stress in E.coli. This small RNA acts to negatively regulate the translation and stability of the ptsG mRNA, which encodes the major glucose transporter in E. coli. SgrS forms a specific ribonucleoprotein complex with RNAse E and the chaperone Hfq and acts by base pairing with the ptsG mRNA. Lineage: Bacteria; Pseudomonadati; Pseudomonadota; Gammaproteobacteria; Enterobacterales; Enterobacteriaceae. The record is from RNAcentral.
AUUUGCGGACAUCAUGUGUGACUGAGUAUUGGUGUUAAUCGCCACGCCAGCAGUGAUUAUCUGCUGGCUUUUU